GAUCCCUUAGCUCAGCUGGGAGAGCGCCUGCCUUGCACGCAGGAGGUCAGCGGUUCGAUCCUCUCCGGGAUCA
Molecule: transfer RNA, 73 nt
Filed under: Bacillus anthracis (anthrax bacterium)
Lineage: Bacteria; Bacillati; Bacillota; Bacilli; Caryophanales; Bacillaceae
Description: tRNA-Ala
Rfam family: tRNA
About the family: Transfer RNA (tRNA) molecules are approximately 80 nucleotides in length. Their secondary structure includes four short double-helical elements and three loops (D, anti-codon, and T loops).
Source: RNAcentral